Molecule: ribosomal RNA, 301 nt
Filed under: uncultured bacterium
Lineage: Bacteria
Description: partial 16S ribosomal RNA
Rfam family: Bacterial small subunit ribosomal RNA
Source: RNAcentral
CAGCCGCCACGGUAAUACAGAGGGUGCAAGCGUUAAUCGGAAUUACUGGGCGUAAAGCGCGCGUAGGUGGUUUGUUAAGUUGGAUGUGAAAGCCCCGGGCUCAACCUGGGAACUGCAUCCAAAACUGGCAAGCUAGAGUACGGUAGAGGGUGGUGGAAUUUCCUGUGUAGCGGUGAAAUGCGUAGAUAUAGGAAGGAACACCAGUGGCGAAGGCGACCACCUGGACUGAUACUGACACUGAGGUGCGAAAGCGUGGGGAGCAAACAGGAUUAGAUACCCCUGUAGUCCCUGUCUCUUUACA